Molecule: non-coding RNA, 1712 nt
Organism: Carica papaya (papaya)
Lineage: Eukaryota; Viridiplantae; Streptophyta; Magnoliopsida; Brassicales; Caricaceae
Source: RefSeq, a predicted model, not a curated record
UUGUGCGGUCUUCUUCCUCUUCUCUUUUUUCAAUUUUCUUCUUCUACUCAUCUUCAGCAUUCUUCUUCUCUUCUUUUUCUUAUUUUGCAGUCAUACAGAACUCUUCUUUCUGGAUUUAUAUUGGAAAAUUUUGAGUAAAUUGAAGGUGAUAUGCGACAAGAAGGAUUCUUCUCGGGUUGAGGUAGUCGGAGUCCAUUGAGAUAGUUCGAGCCUCUCUAAAGAGAAACACAACCUAGGCUUUUCUAGUUUAGUGUAGUACCCAUGCGGAUGAGGGGGUCUAUACCUCCACGCUCUUCCCAAGUCAGGACCAGAUAUGGCUAGUGUUCUUCUUGUUUUUUUGGACCUGUUCUUGCAGCUUAUUGGGCUUCAAAGUCGAUUUAUUGGGUGAUCCAACCUUGGACAAGACGAUUGAAGGAUUUUUAUAAGCUUUUAGCGCAGGCCCAGGUAAUAGUUCCCUCCGAGACUUGAAUCUUUCUUUUCACUUCUCCUCAACUAGCUUCUUGGUCUUCUGGGUUAACAUCAUUCCUUAUAUCUCAUGUGUCCAGGUUUAUAUCACACACUCUCACAACCUAUAGAUAUAGUUUCACACAUCAUAUAUAAUUUAUACACAUAAUAAUAUGUCUCCGUAUAAGAUUAACCCAAUCUUACCUACAGUCUGAUCAAAAAGGUAUCUGAAUCCUUAACAGUUCAUGUCUAUCAUCUCUUAAUCCCCGUCACCAUUUGGAUGUUUACUUUGUUUACAACAAAAUACAGACAUUAUUAACGACGAAUAAUAUCAAAAAUGAUACAAAAUGAUAGAAAAACUGAUUAUACUUUUGACACUCAGUCUCCAAUCACCAUAGUCGCAUCACCGCAUACCGAAUUGACACGCACUAAGACAUGUGCCACCAUUAGAAUCAACACGCAUUACCACACACACCACUGCCAGAGUCGCCAUGUGCCGCUGCCGCUUUGGCUGAAACACCAUAGAACCAUGGGGAGUCUAGAUCUGGAGCAGAUCUUGCUGAAAGCACCGGAUCUGGCUACCUGCGCCGUCUAACCGCUCCUCCCCUGCGCAUUUUUCGCGAUCUACCUGCUCUUCCCUAUCAUACGCCUCACCUUCUGGUUCCUCGUGUGAAACUGCAAAGCUAGUUUCUUCUUUUUGUUGCACACGAACUUUGUAAUAUCCAGACCUAGGUAAGCAACCCAACCCAUCUGUUUUAAAAUGAUGCAGUUUUGAAGCUAAGCAUUUGAAGCUCAAAAAGAUGCAACUUUGAGAAACCCCAAAAUGACGUCGUUUUAAUGAAAAAAAUAAAUUAACGGUGAAGAUUUUUCUCCAAAUUCCACGGUUCAGAUUUAAUGAGGACCGCUAUAAAUAGGUUCAGAGUUUAAAAAAAUGAAAGAAGAAAACCUUAUCCUCCAUAUGAUCAGGAAAUAAGAGAUGAAGGGGAGGUAGCCAUGGAGAGAGAGAGAGUAAGAGAGAGAGAGAAUAUGCGAGGAACAGUGGAGGAACAUAAAAUCCAAAGCUCCUUUGACAUUUUCCACCACCGCCAAGGUAGGUCAUAGUAAGCUCUUUUCUCUGAGUUUACCACAAGCCGAGCAAUUUGUAUCCCAUUUCCUACUUUCUUUCUCAUCUUUCGUAAUAGUAGGUGUAUAUAAGUGGCAAAAUAUGUAAAUUAAGUGAAUAAGCUUUAACAUCACCAUGGAAAUGCACCGCUUGGCUUUAGAUUUAA